GUUCACAGCAUCUGUGCCCAGCUCUAGGAAGAAAGCCACCUUUGCCUGAGUAGCAUCACUGGCUCCCUAGCUCCUUAGGAGUGUGAGUUCCACAGCUCCCACUCUGCUUUUCUGCCCGGAGAAGCUCUGCAUCUGACAGCGAGGGCGCAUCUCAUCUCGUCCCCAAACAGCCAGCCAGGUGGUGCUGUCAGCACCAGGCUGGCCGCCAGGCAGGGC
This 216-nucleotide long non-coding RNA is filed under the name Bos taurus (domestic cattle). RNAcentral describes it as "long non-coding RNA NONBTAT013971". The record is from RNAcentral. Lineage: Eukaryota; Metazoa; Chordata; Mammalia; Artiodactyla; Bovidae.